AUACUUACCUGGCAGGGGAGACACCAGGAACAUGAAGGUGGUUUCCCCGGGGCAAGGCUUAUCCAUUGUAUGAUGGAUGUGCUGACCCCUGUGAUUUCCCAAAUGUGGGAAACUUGACUGCAUAAUUUAUGGUAGUGGAAGAUUGUGUUUGCCCUCUCUCCUA
Cavia porcellus (domestic guinea pig) is the source of this 163-nucleotide small nuclear RNA. Its record names the gene U1. It matches the Rfam family "U1 spliceosomal RNA". Rfam says of the family: U1 is a small nuclear RNA (snRNA) component of the spliceosome (involved in pre-mRNA splicing). Its 5' end forms complementary base pairs with the 5' splice junction, thus defining the 5' donor site of an intron. Lineage: Eukaryota; Metazoa; Chordata; Mammalia; Rodentia; Caviidae. The record is from Ensembl.